AUAUCGUCAUUCUUCAGCUGAACAUCAACCUGUUCAGGAAAAGAUGAUGACCACUUGAGCUUGAACAUAAUAAAUAAGAGGCUGUAGUCUACUGACAUCAAGAUAAUGCUUCGACUUUAAACAAAGAGAACCAUAAAGAUUAACGGGUCGUUUGAUUUUGAGAUUUGGUCGAAAGUGAUUUCUAGCAAGAAAUUUGAAAUAGGAGGGAUUUGAAGUAUGCAAGUGA
RNAcentral lists this long non-coding RNA (226 nucleotides) under Linum usitatissimum (flax). RNAcentral describes it as "long non-coding RNA (LUSI_LNC001497)". Lineage: Eukaryota; Viridiplantae; Streptophyta; Magnoliopsida; Malpighiales; Linaceae. The record is from RNAcentral.